Molecule: unclassified non-coding RNA, 285 nt
Filed under: Hevea brasiliensis (rubber tree)
Lineage: Eukaryota; Viridiplantae; Streptophyta; Magnoliopsida; Malpighiales; Euphorbiaceae
Source: RNAcentral
AGUCUUACAAAGGAUUGCAGACUGCUUGGGAAAUUUGAUCUGACUGGAAUUCCUCCAGCUCCAAGAGGAACCCCUCAAAUUGAGGUUACGUUUGAAGUUGAUGCCAAUGGCAUCGUCAAUGUGAAGGCCGAAGACAAAGGCACAGGUAAAUCAGAUAAGAUCAAAUUUCCCAAGCAGUCUGCAAUCCUUUGUAAGACUCCUUUCACCCUCAAAGACCUGAAUGGAGACAGUAGUCUGCUGAUCCUGGUAAGUUGUAAAAACUUGAGAUUUCUUGGUUGGGAUAAC